Myotis lucifugus (little brown bat) is the source of this 104-nucleotide small nuclear RNA. NCBI's taxonomy places the organism in Eukaryota, Metazoa, Chordata, Mammalia, Chiroptera, Vespertilionidae. The record is from Ensembl.
AUGCUCAAUUUGACAGCACAUAUAAUAAAACUGAAAUGAUACCAAGAUUAGCAUGGCCCCUAUGCAAAGGUAACAUGCAAAUUCGUGAAGCGUUCCAUAUUUUU